GAUGAACGCUGGCGGCGUGCCUAAUACAUGCAAGUCGAGCGAACAGACGAGGAGCUUGCUCCUCUGACGUUAGCGGCGGACGGGUGAGUAACACGUGGAUAACCUACCUAUAAGACUGGGAUAACUUCGGGAAACCGGAGCUAAUACCGGAUAAUAUCUUGAACCGCAUGGUUCAAUAGUGAAAGACGGUUUUGCUGUCACUUCUAGAUGGAUCCGCGCUGCAUUAGCUAGUUGGUAAGGUAACGGCUUACCAAGGCAACGAUGCGUAGCCGACCUGAGAGGGUGAUCGGCCACACGGGAACGGAGACAGGGUCCAUACUCCUACGAGAGGCAGCAGUAGGGAAUCUUCCGCAAUGGGCGAAAGCCUGACGGAGCAACGCCGCGUGAGUGAUGAAGGUCUUCGGAUCGUAAAACUCUGUUAUUAGGGAAGAACAAAUGUGUAAGUAACUGUGCACGGCUUGACGGUACCUAAUCAGAAAGCCACGGCUAACUACGUG
This 497-nucleotide ribosomal RNA is filed under the name uncultured bacterium. RNAcentral's name for it is "partial 16S ribosomal RNA". It matches the Rfam family "Bacterial small subunit ribosomal RNA", at positions 28 to 507 of the family's 1533-position model. The record is from RNAcentral.